This 253-nucleotide ribosomal RNA is filed under the name uncultured bacterium. Its description in RNAcentral is "partial 16S ribosomal RNA". It matches the Rfam family "Bacterial small subunit ribosomal RNA", at positions 524 to 776 of the family's 1533-position model. The record is from RNAcentral.
UACGGAGGGAGCAAGCGUUACUCGGAAUUAUUGGGCGUAAAGGGCGCGUAGGCGAUUUGAAAAGUCUUGUGUGAAAGCCCCGAGCUUAACUCGGGAAGUGCACAAGAAACUGUUGAAUUUGAGUUCCGGAGAGGAAGGCAGAAUUCCCGGUGUAGCGGUGAAAUGCGUAGAUAUCGGGAGGAAUACCAGUGGCGAAGGCGGCCUUCUGGACAGUGACUGACGCUGAGACGCGAAAGCGUGGGGAGCAAACAGG